RNAcentral lists this ribosomal RNA (910 nucleotides) under uncultured bacterium. RNAcentral's name for it is "bacterial SSU rRNA". It matches the Rfam family "Bacterial small subunit ribosomal RNA", at positions 33 to 934 of the family's 1533-position model. The record is from RNAcentral.
ACGCUGGCUACAGGCUUAACACAUGCAAGUCGAGGGGAAACGACGGGGAAGCUUGCUUCCUUGGGCGUCGACCGGCGCACGGGUGAGUAACGCGUAUCCAACCUGCCUCUGACUGAGGGAUAACCCGUCGAAAGUCGGCCUAAUACCUCAUGGUAUCGUCUGCGGGCAUCCAAUGACGAUUAAAGAUUUCAUCGGUCAGGGAUGGGGAUGCGUCUGAUUAGCUUGUUGGCGGGGUAACGGCCCACCAAGGCGACGAUCAGUAGGGGUUCUGAGAGGAAGGUCCCCCACAUUGGAACUGAGACACGGUCCAAACUCCUACGGGAGGCAGCAGUGAGGAAUAUUGGUCAAUGGGCGAGAGCCUGAACCAGCCAAGUAGCGUGCAGGAUGACGGCCCUAUGGGUUGUAAACUGCUUUUAUGCGGGGAUAAAGUGAGGGACGUGUCCUUCAUUGCAGGUACCGCAUGAAUAAGGACCGGCUAAUUCCGUGCCAGCAGCCGCGGUAAUACGGAAGGUCCGGGCGUUAUCCGGAUUUAUUGGGUUUAAAGGGAGCGUAGGCCGUGGAUUAAGCGUGUUGUGAAAUGCAGGUGCUCAACGUCUGCACUGCAGCACGAACUGGUCCACUAGAGUGUGCACAACGCAGGCGGAAUUCGUCGUGUAGCGGUGAAAUGCUUAGAUAUGACGAAGAACUCCGAUUGCGAAGGCAGCUUGCGGGAGCACAACUGACGCUGAAGCUCGAAAGUGCGGGUAUCGAACAGGAUUAGAUACCCUGGUAGUCCGCACGGUAAACGAUGGAUGCCCGUUGUCAGGCUGUUUCAGCCUGGUGACCAAGCGAAAGCAUUAAGCAUCCCACCUGGGGAGUACGCCGGCAACGGUGAAACUCAAGGAAUUGACGGGGGCCCGCACAAGCGGAG